Molecule: ribosomal RNA, 497 nt
Filed under: uncultured bacterium
Lineage: Bacteria
Description: partial 16S ribosomal RNA
Rfam family: Bacterial small subunit ribosomal RNA
Source: RNAcentral
GAUGAACGCUGGCGGCGUGCUUAACACAUGCAAGUCGAACGAAGCACUUUUACAGAUUUCUUCGGAUUGAAAUUUUAGUGACUGAGUGGCGGACGGGUGAGUAACGCGUGGGUAACCUGCCUCACACAGGGGGAUAACAGUUGGAAACGGCUGCUAAUACCGCAUAAGCGCACAGUACCGCAUGGUACGGUGUGAAAAACUCCGGUGGUGUGAGAUGGACCCGCGUCUGAUUAGCUAGUUGGCAGGGCAACGGCCUACCAAGGCGACGAUCAGUAGCCGACCUGAGAGGGUGACCGGCCACAUUGGGACUGAGACACGGCCCAAACUCCUACGGGAGGCAGCAGUGGGGAAUAUUGUACAAUGGGGGAAACCCUGAUGCAGCGACGCCGCGUGAGCGAAGAAGUAUUUCGGUAUGUAAAGCCCUAUCAGCAGGGAAGAAGAAAUGACGGUACCUGACUAAGAAGCACCGGCUAAAUACGUGCCAGCAGCCGCAGUAA